Molecule: ribosomal RNA, 615 nt
Filed under: Triticum aestivum (bread wheat)
Lineage: Eukaryota; Viridiplantae; Streptophyta; Magnoliopsida; Poales; Poaceae
Description: partial small subunit ribosomal RNA
Source: RNAcentral
AUGUGCCAGAAUCUGACAUCCAUUUCUUCUAACUUCUGUUGGGGUUCAACUCAUGGUGAGAACAAGGUUCAUUGGGUUUUUUGGGACAAAAUGUGCAUGGCUAAGAGAGAUGGUGGGAUGGGGUUCCGAAAUUAUGAGGCAUUUAACCAGGCUUUACUUGCGAAGCAAGCUUGGCGGAUCCUCCAAGUUCCAGUUUCUCUUGUUGCUAGAGUUCUUCGUGCUCGGUACUUCCAACACUCUUCAAUCAUACAAGCUACAUGUCCUUCUAAUGGUUCUUUUACUUUCAGAAGUAUUCUGCAUGGCCGUGACUUGCUGAAAGAAGGAUUGGUGUGGCGUGUUGGUGAUGGCGCGCAAAUUUUAAUCCACCACGAUAACUGGAUCCUUCGAAAAGGAUGCUUGAGGCCACUGCGUCAAACCUUCAUCCAGGGCAUAACAAGGGUGGCUGACUUGCUGAAUGUAGAUGGAACCUGCUGGGAUGCGUCUAAAGUCGAAGCCAUGUUCUCUGAGGAUGAUGCUACUGAUAUCAUGCAAAUUCCGGUGGGUGGAAGCGAGGUUCACGACUUCAUGGCCUGGAACUACACGAAGGAUGGAGUGUUCACUGUCUGCUCUGGUUAA